GACGAACGCUGGCGGCGUGCUUAACACAUGCAAGUCGAACGGUAAGGCCCUUCGGGGUACACGAGUGGCGAACGGGUGAGUAACACGUGGGUGAUCUGCCCUGCACUUCGGGAUAAGCCUGGGAAACUGGGUCUAAUACCGGAUAGGACCACUGCCUGCAUGGGUGGUGGUGGAAAGCUUUUGCGGUGUGGGAUGGGCCCGCGGCCUAUCAGCUUGUUGGUGGGGUGAUGGCCUACCAAGGCGACGAGGGGUAGCCGGCCUGAGAGGGUGACCAGCCACACUGGGACUGAGCUACGGCCAAGACCCCUACGGGAGGCAGCAGUGGGGAAUAUUGCACAAUGGGCGCGAGCCUUAUGCAGCGACGCCGCGUGAGGGAUGACGGCCUUCGGGUUGUAAACCUCUUUCAGCACCGACGAAGCGCAAGUGACGGUAGGUGCAGAAGAAGGACCGGCCAACUACGUGCCAGCCGCCGCAGUAA
Molecule: ribosomal RNA, 478 nt
Filed under: uncultured bacterium
Lineage: Bacteria
Description: partial 16S ribosomal RNA
Rfam family: Bacterial small subunit ribosomal RNA
Source: RNAcentral